UGUGUAGGCGGCUUUUUAAGUUUGGUGUGAAAUCUCCCGGCUCAACUGGGAGGGUGCGCCGAAAACUGAAAGGCUAGAGUGCGGGAGAGGAGAGUGGAAUUCCUGGUGUAGCGGUGAAAUGCGUAGAUAUCAGGAGGAACACCGGUGGUGUAGACGGCUCUCUGGACCGUAACUGACGCUGAGACACGAAAGCAUGGGUAGCAAACAGGAUUAGAUACCCUGGUAGUCCACGCCCUAAACGAUGCAUAUUUGGUGUGGGUCAUUCAGUUGAUCCGUGCCGGAGCUAACGCGUUAAAUAUGCCGCCUGGGGAGUACAGUCGCAAGGCUGAA
This 330-nucleotide ribosomal RNA is filed under the name uncultured bacterium. RNAcentral's name for it is "bacterial SSU rRNA". It matches the Rfam family "Bacterial small subunit ribosomal RNA", at positions 568 to 898 of the family's 1533-position model. The record is from RNAcentral.